Molecule: ribosomal RNA, 163 nt
Filed under: Onosma visianii
Lineage: Eukaryota; Viridiplantae; Streptophyta; Magnoliopsida; Boraginales; Boraginaceae
Description: 5.8S ribosomal RNA
Rfam family: 5.8S ribosomal RNA
About the family: 5.8S ribosomal RNA (5.8S rRNA) is a component of the large subunit of the eukaryotic ribosome. It is transcribed by RNA polymerase I as part of the 45S precursor that also contains 18S and 28S rRNA.
Source: RNAcentral
ACUCUCGGCAACGGAUAUCUCGGCUCUCGCAUCGAUGAAGAACGUAGCGAAAUGCGAUACUUGGUGUGAAUUGCAGAAUCCCGUGAACCAUCGAGUCUUUGAACGCAAGUUGCGCCUGAGGCCGUUAGGCUAAAGGCACGUCUGCCUGGGCGUCACGCAUCGC